This 253-nucleotide ribosomal RNA is filed under the name uncultured bacterium. Its description in RNAcentral is "partial 16S ribosomal RNA". It matches the Rfam family "Bacterial small subunit ribosomal RNA", at positions 524 to 776 of the family's 1533-position model. The record is from RNAcentral.
UACGUAGGGACCGAGCGUUGUCCGGAAUCAUUGGGCGUAAAGAGCGUGUAGGCGGCUAUUUAAGUCCUGCGUGAAAUCCUGCGGCUCAACCGCAGACGGUCGUGGGAAACUGGAUGGCUAGAGUGCGGGAGAGGAGAGUGGAAUUCCCGGUGUAGCGGUGAAAUGCGCAGAUAUCGGGAAGAACACCCGUGGCGAAGGCGGCUCUCUGGAACGCAGCUGACGCUGAGACGCGAAAGCGUGGGGAGCAAACAGG